RNAcentral lists this ribosomal RNA (529 nucleotides) under uncultured bacterium. Its description in RNAcentral is "bacterial SSU rRNA". It matches the Rfam family "Bacterial small subunit ribosomal RNA", at positions 79 to 606 of the family's 1533-position model. The record is from RNAcentral.
CUUGCACCUGAUGGCGAGUGGCGAACGGGUGAGUAAUGCAUCGGAACGUACCGGAAGUGGGGGAUAACGUAGCGAAAGUUACGCUAAUACCGCAUAUUCUGUGAGCAGGAAAGCGGGGGAUCGCAAGACCUCGCGCUUCCGGAGCGGCCGAUGUCGGAUUAGCUAGUUGCGGGUAAAGGCCCACCAAGGCAACGAUCCGUAGCGGGUCUGAGAGGAUGAUCCGCCACACUGGGACUGAGACACGGCCCAGACUCCUACGGGAGGCAGCAGUGGGGAAUUUUGGACAAUGGGGGCAACCCUGAUCCAGCCAUGCCGCGUGAGUGAAGAAGGCCUUCGGGUUGUAAAGCUCUUUCGGCUGGGAAGAAAUCGCAUCUCCUAAUACGGGGUGUGGAUGACGGUACCAGCAUAAGAAGCACCGGCUAACUACGUGCCAGCAGCCGCGGUAAUACGUAGGGUGCGAGCGUUAAUCGGAAUUACUGGGCGUAAAGCGUGCGCAGGCGGUUUCGUAAGACAGAGGUGAAAUCCCCGG